AUUUGUUCCAUGAUAAUAUCAUCGUUCUAUUAAAAUAUUAAUUUACUAAAACCCUAUACAAAACCAUUAUCAAAGACAAGAAACAAGAAAAUUAAUCCAACGGCCAGCAAAUCCACUAACUAUAAUAUGUAAGUCCCACAAUAUAAAAUGUUGAAUUUCGAUAGUACUGAAGAUUUCUGCUCAUAAUUACAGGAUCCUAAUAACUAACCACAUUUGCUCCUAUUUCUUUUUUCAUGAGCAAGAUUCAAACUUCUUCUGAACAAGACGAUCCAUGCCCAACCUGCUGCAUCUAAACCAAGAAACAUUGCCAACAACUAACUAAAGCAAACAAGAAAAGACACAAAAGCUCUAUUUCAAUGCCAAAAAGAACAAAGAGUUUUGCUUUUCACAAAGGGUGUUGUAAAAUAACAACUUUCAAGCUCUUAGGGUUGAAGAAUCCAAUAAAAACACAGUUAACUAGUGCAGACAUACAUUUCACCAAGCACCACCGACAGCAUUACAAUUUCUUAUCCAAUAUCACUGCAAGUUUCAGCCCGGCAAAAUCAUUUACAGUACAACCAAUUUUAUCAAACUUACCUUCCUCAUUAUUCUCUCUAAAUUUUAGAUAAUCCAAGCAGACAAAUGGCUUAUAUAAUCUUAAGUUUUCUUCUCCUAUAAUGUCAUCCGGUGCUGAGAUCACCUUCUCAUCCUCAAAACACCAAAAGAAAGCAAGAGAAAGGCGAUUUACAAAUCGCUUUAAAAUAACACGGUGCUCAGAUGAUCUUAACUGCCCAUUGCUCCACGCUUGCAUCAUGUCUCCAACAUUAACUACAAGAGCAUUCUCACAUGGGCAUAUAUCCAUCCAUUCCCCUUGCCUAGAUCUCAUUUGCAGCCCCCCAGUCUCAUCCUGAUAAAGUAUUGUUAUGCAACUCAUAUCAGUGUGCAUGCCAAGUCCUUCAACCUCCUUUUCUUCAACAUUCUUUGGAGGUGAAUAAUUUACAAUCCUCAAAUACCCAUGACAGUUGCUGAAUUCUGAAUCACAAAACUUCCUGUCAUAACCAUCACCCAAACUCAUUAAUAAAACCUUUAUGAUCCUCCUUGAUAACUCUAUCAUCUUGUUUCCAUACUCCUGUAAUAUCUCACUAUGUGGUGGAAGAGAGGUAACACAAUUAAUAUGUGCAAUCCAUAUAACUAAAACUGCGGCAAAAUAUAUAUAAUUAUUAUAAUAAAUAAAAUUCACAAGUUAUUAGAAAGAAAUUUCACCUAAAUUCACACUUCUGUUGACUAAAUAGCACAUCAGCAGAACUCUUAGCAGAAGCAAAAAAAUCUGGUCCUGACACCCGCAAGCUUUCAAAAUAAGGUGACGCUAUGAAACGAGGAGUAUACGUUUUCAAGCACGAUGAUGGGCCAAGCUUGAGUUUGGAAUCCAAAGGAAUGCUAAAGAUUUGCUUUGAACAUGAACAAACUUCAUCAAACAAGUUUUUUGAGAUACCGUGGUUGAUGAUAUAAAAGAAGCCCCACUCUUGACAGGCUUUAUAAAGGGAAGAUAGGGAGGAGAUCUCAACAGAUUGAGAUAAAUCUAACACAGGAAGCUUAAAAGACGUCUUGUGUUCAGACAUAGUCAUAAAGGAAAAUGCAAUGGUUGCUUCUGUUGAAUCAAAGUGCAAGGCUAAAGGGUAGGCUACAUUCAGAUAGGUGCUAGAGUGGAAUAAGUUUUAUAUAACACUAUGAUAACGCCAAUUUUCAAAGGAGCAUUUUGAUUAAUUCUACCACAUUCAGAAAUGAUAAGGUAACUUUAUGGACCCUAAUUAUUUUGCCA
This 1798-nucleotide unclassified non-coding RNA is filed under the name Hevea brasiliensis (rubber tree). Lineage: Eukaryota; Viridiplantae; Streptophyta; Magnoliopsida; Malpighiales; Euphorbiaceae. The record is from RNAcentral.